This 72-nucleotide transfer RNA is filed under the name Microbacterium sp. Its description in RNAcentral is "tRNA-Asn". It matches the Rfam family "tRNA". From Rfam's summary of the family: Transfer RNA (tRNA) molecules are approximately 80 nucleotides in length. Their secondary structure includes four short double-helical elements and three loops (D, anti-codon, and T loops). Further hydrogen bonds mediate the characteristic L-shaped molecular structure. tRNAs have two regions of fundamental functional importance: the anti-codon, which is responsible for specific mRNA codon recognition, and the 3' end, to which the tRNAs corresponding amino acid is attached (by aminoacyl-tRNA synthetases). tRNAs cope with the degeneracy of the genetic code in two manners: having more than one tRNA (with a specific anti-codon) for a particular amino acid; and 'wobble' base-pairing, i.e. permitting non-standard base-pairing at the 3rd anti-codon position. The record is from RNAcentral. RNAcentral also lists the same sequence under 6 other names. Lineage: Bacteria; Bacillati; Actinomycetota; Actinomycetes; Micrococcales; Microbacteriaceae.
UCCCCGAUAGCUCAACGGCAGAGCAGCCGGCUGUUAACCGGCAGGUUGUUGGUUCGAAUCCAACUCGGGGAG